GUCACAUAGGAAAGCAUUCAUAAUGCUUUCCUAUGGACGCUUGCGUGCUCUCACUGUGAAAAUCACAGUGAGAAGCACGCAAGCGCCUCUAGUGGCUGUCAAUGAGACAGCCACUAGAGGAUUAGGGGGAAGGCUUAACCCAUUCAUAAACAUAGCAGUUUCUCUGAAACUGCUAUGUUUAUGAAAAAAUGGGUUAACCCUAGCUGGACCUGGCAC
Pelobates cultripes (western spadefoot toad) is the source of this 216-nucleotide non-coding RNA. Lineage: Eukaryota; Metazoa; Chordata; Amphibia; Anura; Pelobatidae. The record is from the annotation of a GenBank genome assembly.